GAUGAAGAACGCAGCGAAAUGCGAUAAGUAAUGUGAAUUGCAGAAUUCAGUGAAUCAUCGAAUCUUUGAACGCACAUUGCGCCCCUUGGUAUUCCGAGGGGCAUGCCUGUUCGGGCGUCAUUAUAACCCCUCAAGCUCAGCUUGGUGUUGGGGCCUGCUGCACUGGCAGCCCUUAAAAUCAGUGGCGGCGCCAUCUGGCUCUAAGCGUAGUAAUUCUUCUCGCUAUGGAGUCCUGGUGGAUGCUUGCCAUCAACCCCCAAUUUUUCUAUGGUUGACCUCGGAUCAGGUAGGGAUACCCGCUGAACUUAAGCAUAUCAAUAAGCGGAGGA
This 329-nucleotide unclassified non-coding RNA is filed under the name soil metagenome. Its description in RNAcentral is "partial contains 5.8S ribosomal RNA, internal transcribed spacer 2, and large subunit ribosomal RNA". The stretch from base 1 to 120 matches the Rfam family "5.8S ribosomal RNA", at positions 35 to 154 of the family's 154-position model. The record is from RNAcentral.